This 465-nucleotide ribosomal RNA is filed under the name uncultured bacterium. RNAcentral's name for it is "partial 16S ribosomal RNA". It matches the Rfam family "Bacterial small subunit ribosomal RNA", at positions 28 to 507 of the family's 1533-position model. The record is from RNAcentral.
GACGAACGCUGGCGGCGUGCUUAACACAUGCAAGUCGAACGGAAAGGCCCUGCUUGCAGGGUACUCGAGUGGCGAACGGGUGAGUAACACGUGUGUGAUCUGCCCUGCACUUCGGGAUAAGCCUUGGAAACUGGGUCUAAUACCGGAGAGGAGCCAUUUUUAGUGUGGUGGUUGGAAAGUUUUUUCGGUGUAGGAUGAGCUCGCGGCCUAUCAGCUUGUUGGUGGGGUAAUGGGCUACCAAGGCGGCGACGGGUAGCCGGCCUGCGAGGGGGGACGGCCAACUUGGGACUGGGAUACCGCCCAGACUCCUACGGGAGGCAGCAGUGGGGAAUAUUGCACAAUGGGCGGAAGGCUGAUGCAGCGACGCCGCGGGGGGGAUGACGGCCUUCGGGUUGUAAACUCCUUUCGCUAGGGACGAAGCUUUUUGUGACGGUACCUAGAUAAGAAGCACCGGCUAACUACGUG